This 359-nucleotide transfer-messenger RNA is filed under the name Clostridia bacterium. It matches the Rfam family "transfer-messenger RNA". From Rfam's summary of the family: Bacterial tmRNA, also known as 10Sa RNA or SsrA, is named for its dual tRNA and mRNA-like properties. Lineage: Bacteria; Bacillati; Bacillota; Clostridia. The record is from RNAcentral.
GGGGGCGAAACGGUUUCGACGGGGGUGUAGAAGCAAGAUAAGCGAGUCGUAGUCGCCAAGUCUACGUUAAAAAUGGCCGUUAAAUAUAAACGCUAAAAAUAACAAUAAUUUCGCAUUUGCUGCCUAAUUUCGUAGCGCGCGUGUCAACUCCGGUUUACCUGUAGGCCGGAUGAUUGGCAUCGACUAUACAGGAAAACCUUGCGAGAGUUUCCGGUAUCGUUAAGGGACUAACGGAAUAGCACCUUUCGUAGCUUGUUAAUGGGCGACUUAAGGGGCGAAAUAUAAAUCAUUAACUGCACUCGGAGAAAGUUUUGUGGAAAUGCUUUCGGACGUGAGUUCGAAUCUCACCGCCUUCACCA